AAAAUGGAAACGCUUUCUCAAACUUAAAGCUGUAAGAGAAAGGAUUCCUCUUAACUCUGUACCUCCCUGAUAUAAGGGAGGCAGGGAGGAGGUGGGACGUAGGUCUAUGGGAUAAACUUGUCAAACCAAGUUCAGAAGAAAAUAUCUCCCAUUCCAAAAGUCUUCAUGAUUGAAAGGAAAGGAAUGUCACAUCUGAAGCAAAAAGAGAACAUGAUUCCUCAUCUCAUUUCUUUACAAGAAUCCCAGCUUUUUCUCUCCUUACCAUUCCACUGAGACAGACUGGAAACUGGUGAUAAGAUACAUCCAAUUCCACUUGGAUCCUGGUGAGGCUGUUUAUCCCCAGAUAGCUGCAGAAGUCUGCUUGAGGGCUUUUGGGAAUACAGAUGUCCUAAAUUUCACAAAAUAGCAGAGGAAAAUGUGAUGCACAAAGGGAAAAAGGAUAAAGGGAAAAAGGAUACUCUUACAUGCCUGCGGUAUUUGAGCAUAGAAGUUAAAACAGGCUGUAUUGCGACAAUAAUCAACAAAUUAGAGCAUCACAAUGUCACCACUUACAUUGAAUAAGAAAACGACUUCAUGCCCUUAAACGUUUAUCCCUUCUUUUGAGCUCUUCUGGGAGCAAUUCUUCAAUCUGCU
This 633-nucleotide long non-coding RNA is filed under the name Anas platyrhynchos platyrhynchos (common mallard). RNAcentral describes it as "lncRNA (ENSAPLG00000027315.1)". The record is from RNAcentral. Lineage: Eukaryota; Metazoa; Chordata; Aves; Anseriformes; Anatidae.